This 21-nucleotide microRNA is filed under the name Cricetulus griseus (Chinese hamster). Its description in RNAcentral is "cgr-miR-802". Its record names the gene cgr-miR-802. Lineage: Eukaryota; Metazoa; Chordata; Mammalia; Rodentia; Cricetidae. The record is from miRBase by way of RNAcentral. RNAcentral also lists the same sequence under 1 other name.
UCAGUAACAAAGAUUCAUCCU